UCAGCCUCUAAAAAACGGACUUCCGUAAAAUUUUUGGAUAAAUCACCCGGUAUAGCUUCCAAUGCUAAAUAAUGUAAGAAAAUUAUUUAUUUACACAUGUUCAUUUAUUACCGUCAGCAAGUUGUAUAAGAAGAUCCAAGUCAUUUUCCUUUUUUGGUUUUGCCAUGGCUGACGACUUGUCGAUUAUAUACAGCUAUUCAUGAGGAUUCUUUCUAGUUUGACUUUUAUUACUUGCCCAAGGUUAGCAUUGCUUUUUGCUUCCUUUUGUUUACGUCUGUAAUAUAAGUGCAAUCGAACCAAAGAAUCUCGGUUUUCCACUUAUAAGGCUUGCUUCAAAGCUUUUUCAAAACUUUAUUUUAUAUAGCUGUUCUCCAAAACACACCUAGCUUCUUUUACUUGAGUAUGAACUAUUGUACCUAGUUGGUAGUGGUCGUUCAUGAAAUGCGUUAAACUAGGAAAAUAUCGUCCCGAAGAAAUACGGGAUCCUCAUGGGUCAGUGAUC
Molecule: non-coding RNA, 502 nt
Organism: Schizosaccharomyces pombe (fission yeast)
Lineage: Eukaryota; Fungi; Ascomycota; Schizosaccharomycetes; Schizosaccharomycetales; Schizosaccharomycetaceae
Source: the annotation of a GenBank genome assembly